AGGAUAAACGCUGGCGGCGUGCCUAACACAUGCAAGUCGAACGUCCUUGCGGUCUUCUUCUUCGGAGGAGGACCGCGAGGGAGUGGCGGACGGGUGAGUAACACAUGGGUACCUGCCUUUCAGUGAGGAAUACCGGCGAGAAAUCGCCGACAAGACCGCAUAGGCUUCCUUCGGUAGCCCGAGGGAAGCAAAGUUACUUCGCGAGAGGUGACGCUGGAAGAGGGGCCUGUGGCCGAUUAGCUAGUUGGGGGGUAACGGCCUCCCAAGGCGACGAUCGGUAGCUGGUCUGAGAGGACGAUCAGCCACACUGGGAUUGAGAACGGCCCAGACUCCUACGGGGGGCAGCAGUGAGGAAUUUUCGGCAAUGGGGGCAACCCUGACCGAGCAACGCCGCGUGCAGGACGACGGCCUUCGGGUUGUAAACUGCUUUUCUCUGGGACGAGCAAGGACGGUACCAGAGGAAGAAGCCCCGGCUAACUACGUGCCAGCAGCCGC
RNAcentral lists this ribosomal RNA (495 nucleotides) under uncultured bacterium. RNAcentral describes it as "SSU rRNA". It matches the Rfam family "Bacterial small subunit ribosomal RNA", at positions 26 to 518 of the family's 1533-position model. The record is from RNAcentral.